This is a long non-coding RNA of Acipenser ruthenus (sterlet), 2337 nucleotides long. RefSeq lists it as uncharacterized. The record is from RefSeq and is a predicted model, not a curated record. The transcript has 2 exons. NCBI's taxonomy places the organism in Eukaryota, Metazoa, Chordata, Actinopteri, Acipenseriformes, Acipenseridae.
AGCAGAGCAGCUAGUUGUACAGAAGUGAGUUUCUAGUGAGUUCCUGUCUCUAUCUCUGCAGGCUGGAGGGGUGUGAUCUCACAGGGGAUUGCUGUGAGGACCUGGCCUCUGCUCUCUGUACAAACCAGUCAACCCUGAGAGAACUGCAGCUGAGAGGGAAUAACCUGGGGAAAUCGGGAAUGAAGCUGACUGCUGCACUGAAGCAUCCAAACUGUAAAUUAGAGAAACUGGGGUGUAAGCAGUCCAGUCAGGAGGGAAACAGGAGCUGCAGAGAUCUACAGACUGGAUUCAGCAUCUCCACAUUGUGAGGCAAAAAGAGACACAGAGACUGGAUAGUACAGCAGUAUAUAGCCCAAUUGUGACAGGGAGGCCAUCCCUCCCAUUUAACAUAUAUGUCUGUAUUCUGUUGCUCAUCUAGUAGGACACUUGAAAGCUCUUGGUACCUGUGGCAGGGUGUAACCCUUUCCGGGAUAUUGAAAACUCUGUCUAUCUGUGGCAGGGUGUAACCCUUCCCGGGAUAUUGAAAACUCUGCCUAUCUGUGGCAGGGUGUAACCCUUCCCGGGAUAUUGAAAACUCUGCCUAUCUGUGGCAGGGUGUAACCCUUCCCGGGAUAUUGAAAACUCUGCCUAUCUGUGGCAGGGUGUAACCCUUCCCGGGGAAAUACGCCGUAGCGUGUUUAUUUACAAAAAUAACAGUGGCACGAGGGCCAAAACAAACAUACAUAUUUCAAACAAAUCACGUCUAGACCUUGUCCAGCACAAGUAGCAAUUGUUAUCUGUUUUUCUGAGCUUUCGCUUGCUCCUUCUCUGUUCUUUCACUCCCCUCUCUGAGCGGCUGCUUCGCUCUUUUAUAUUCAUGGACAUCUCCACAUUGGUAAUCACUUAAGCAAUUUGGAGAUGAGCACAUUACACACGAGUCUAGAAGGAUGGGGAAUUUAACCCCAUCCAUGCUGCAAAACAACAAUUAUUAUUAUUAAAAUAAACACAGACAAUCUCCCAGGAAGGGUACCACCCUGCGCCCAUGUAAACGUAGAUUUCAUGACAGUAGACCUCAUACCCCUCCACUUUGCUGGUGGUGAUAUAAUAGUCAUGCGUCUGUAUCUUGUGUUUGAAGCACUGCCCUUCUCCAUGUUACUAUGAAUGCAAGUGCCGACCAAACAACCUUCCCCAUAUCCACAAUAUCUGUUCCCAGAGUAACAAACACCAUAUCAUGAUCUGAAAACCAACUAAGCAAAAUCAGCCCACUGCCCUCCUCCCCUUCAAAAGACUGUGUUAUGCAAUGGAAUCUGCAAUUCUACACAACAGACUGUUAUUCUAGUACAUUGUAAAGAUUCAUAUGACCGCACUGUUGGGAGUCCACCUGUCAUGCAUCUUUCCCUUAUGAAGCUCAUAGGGUUUUUUGUUUUUCCUCUCCUGAGUGCAGGCCACACUUGGACCAAGACAGAAUAAACAAGCUUUGUUUAUUGAUACUAUUUUUUUUGUUGUUGUUGUUGUUAAAGCUUUAUCCUGUAAGCGUUUGUGGCAAUGUAUUGUGAAAGGCGCUAUAUCAAAUAAAGAUUGAUUGAUGUACCUAUGUCUCACGAUCAACCACACAUAUCCACUUCCUCUAAUGUUGCACCGCAUGCAGAUCCCCACAUCCUACCCACCAACCUGACAGCACAUCAAACAUGUGGAUGCCCAUGGCAGUUGAAUUUGGUCGGCUGGGGUCGCCGCUGGGGAAUACGGCCUGCCUGCUACUGGCCCAAGUUGCCACUGGUGGGCCUGAGGAAGCCUCUGUUCCCACCCCAGGACUUUGAAAGGGACUUUUGGAGUUUUAAGGGAGAGGUGGCCAUUGGGCCAUGUGUACUGCGCACAAAAGUGUGAUGGGGUGCCCACCCCUUGUGUAUAUUUAUAUAUUAUUUUGUACUAUUGUUAUUAUUAAUAUAAUAUUGUGUUUGUGUGCAGGCAUAUGAAACCGUUCAUUAUUAUUAUGUGGCCGGCGAAAAGCCGGCAUUAUUGUUAUUAUUUGGCAAGGAUGGGAUUACUUCCCCAUCCUUAAAUAAUCGUGUGAGAAUGUGGCUGGAGCCUUAAUAAGGUAGUUGUUUGAUCAAUGGGUAGUUAAGGCUCCAGCCCCAGGAUCUAAAAGAGACCGUCUCGGCUCAUUAGAGAGAAGAGAGUUGAGAGGAGUGAAAACAAAGAGACAACUGCUACCGGUGUCAGUAUUGCAGAAGGUACUCGUUUUUGGGUAAAAGAGUUAUUUGUCUGUUUUGUUUUGGCCCAGGCGCCCUUUUCUUUGCUGCUUUUGUAACUGUGUUAUUGUUAUUUAAUAAAUAUACGGCUGUGGCCGUUUUAGCCGUG